RNAcentral lists this ribosomal RNA (474 nucleotides) under Achromobacter insolitus. Its description in RNAcentral is "bacterial SSU rRNA". It matches the Rfam family "Bacterial small subunit ribosomal RNA", at positions 44 to 513 of the family's 1533-position model. The record is from RNAcentral. Lineage: Bacteria; Pseudomonadati; Pseudomonadota; Betaproteobacteria; Burkholderiales; Alcaligenaceae.
GUGCCUUACACAUGCAAGUCGAACGGCAGCACGGACUUCGGUCUGGUGGCGAGUGGCGAACGGGUGAGUAAUGUAUCGGAACGUGCCCAGUAGCGGGGGAUAACUACGCGAAAGCGUAGCUAAUACCGCAUACGCCCUACGGGGGAAAGCAGGGGAUCGCAAGACCUUGCACUAUUGGAGCGGCCGAUAUCGGAUUAGCUAGUUGGUGGGGUAACGGCUCACCAAGGCGACGAUCCGUAGCUGGUUUGAGAGGACGACCAGCCACACUGGGACUGAGACACGGCCCAGACUCCUACGGGAGGCAGCAGUGGGGAAUUUUGGACAAUGGGGGAAACCCUGAUCCAGCCAUCCCGCGUGUGCGAUGAAGGCCUUCGGGUUGUAAAGCACUUUUGGCAGGAAAGAAACGUCGCGGGUUAAUACCCCGCGAAACUGACGGUACCUGCAGAAUAAGCACCGGCUAACUACGUGCCAGCA